Molecule: ribosomal RNA, 429 nt
Filed under: Bacteroidota bacterium
Lineage: Bacteria; Pseudomonadati; Bacteroidota
Description: Bacteroidetes bacterium partial 16S ribosomal RNA
Rfam family: Bacterial small subunit ribosomal RNA
Source: RNAcentral
UAGGGAAUCUUCCGCAAUGGGCGAAAGCUUGACGGAGCAACGCCGCGUGAGUGAUGAAGGUCUUCGGAUCGUAAAACUCUGUUAUUAGGGAAGAACAAAUGUGUAAGUAACUAUGCACGUCUUGACGGUACCUAAUCAGAAAGCCACGGCUAACUACGUGCCAGCAGCCGCGGUAAUACGUAGGUGGCAAGCGUUAUCCGGAAUUAUUGGGCGUAAAGCGCGCGUAGGCGGUUUUUUAAGUCUGAUGUGAAAGCCCACGGCUCACACGUGGAGGGUCAUUGGAAACUGGAAAACUUGGGUGCAGAAGAGAGGAGGGGAAUUCCAGGUGUAGCGGUGAAAUGCGUAGAUAUAUGGAGGAACACCAGUGGCGAAGGCGACUCUCUGGUCUGUAACUGACGCUGAGGCUCGAAAGCGUGGGUAGCAAACAGG